AAACCAACAGGGAUUGCCUUAGUAACUGCGAGUGAAGCGGCAAGAGCUCAAAUUUGAAAUCUGGCACCUUCGGUGUCCGAGUUGUAAUUUGUAGAAGCAUCUUUUGGAUUGGUCCUUGCAUAUGUUCCUUGGAACAGGACAUCAUAGAGGGUGAGAAUCCCGUUCAUGGUGGGGAAUCCAAUUCUUUGUAAAGUGCUUUCGAAGAGUCGAGUUGUUUGGGAAUGCAGCUCUAAGUGGGUGGUAAAUUCCAUCUAAAGCUAAAUAUUGGCGAGAGACCGAUAGCGAACAAGUACAGUGAUGGAAAGAUGAAAAGAACUCCGAAAGGAGAGUGAAAAAGGACGUGAAAUUGUUGAAAGGGAAGUGCUUGAGAUCAGUCUUAAGGUUUAGUGAUCAGUCUUCCUUUUGGUUGGUGCACUCUCUAUUUCUUAGGCCAACAUCAGUUUUGGCGGCAGGAUAAUGACAUUGGAAUGUGGCUCUUUCGGGAGUGUUAUAGCCUUUGUUGAUACUGCCUGCUUGGACUGAGGACCGCGCUUUUGCUAGGAUGUUGGCAUAAUGAUCUUAAGCAGC
Molecule: ribosomal RNA, 567 nt
Filed under: Lipomyces kononenkoae
Lineage: Eukaryota; Fungi; Ascomycota; Lipomycetes; Lipomycetales; Lipomycetaceae
Description: LSU rRNA
Rfam family: Eukaryotic large subunit ribosomal RNA
Source: RNAcentral